AUAAUCUUGAUAGAGAAAAAGAGAGAUUAUAUUUAUAUGAAAGCAAUCAAGUAUAAACAGGCACUUGAUAAACUACUUGACUACUUUGCUUAUAUAAAAUUGAACCAUAUUAGUGUGUUAAAUUUCUUGGCAUAAAAAAGUGGAGUAUAAUAACAACUUAGAAAUUACCAAAGAGAUAUUGACUAGUGUUGUGGGAUGG
This 199-nucleotide long non-coding RNA is filed under the name Elaeis guineensis (African oil palm). RNAcentral's name for it is "long non-coding RNA (EGUI_LNC008989)". The record is from RNAcentral. Lineage: Eukaryota; Viridiplantae; Streptophyta; Magnoliopsida; Arecales; Arecaceae.